This 292-nucleotide ribosomal RNA is filed under the name uncultured bacterium. Its description in RNAcentral is "partial 16S ribosomal RNA". It matches the Rfam family "Bacterial small subunit ribosomal RNA", at positions 505 to 796 of the family's 1533-position model. The record is from RNAcentral.
GUGUCAGCAGCCGCGGUAAUACGAAGGGGGCUAGCGUUGUUCGGAAUUACUGGGCGUAAAGCGAGCGUAGGUUGCUCGGAAAGUCAGUGGUGAAAUCCCAGAGCUUAACUCUGGAACUGCCAUUGAAACUUCCGAGCUGGAAUCUCAGAGGGGAUAGCGGAAUUCCAAAUGUAGGGGUGAAAUCCGUAGAUAUUUGGAGGAACACCGGUGGCGAAGGCGGCUAUCUGGAUGAGUAUUGACACUGAGGCUCGAAAGCGUGGGGAUCAAACAGGAUUAGAAACCCGUGUAGUCC